AAUCCGCUAAAGGCCUACGCGUCGUUGUGUUCGGUACGACGGUAUUAUGCAGAGAAAGAAAGAAAUGAAAAAAAUUAAAAUACCGAAAAAAAAUUCAUGGAUCCUUAUGGUCAGCGUAUUAUAUUGUUAUACGAUACGUCCCGAAUGCACGACCGCAUUCAGCAUAUGAUUUAUAAUAUAUGUAUGUGUGUGAUGCGUCAAAAUUAUAAUUUGGACGGACGUCGUCGCCGCCACAUACGCCACCGCCGAUCACGACUACCGCGACAACUGAGAUGUGUUGUCUCACGACCAAUAUAAUAUAAUAUUGGAUUAUUGUCAUCGUAAUUUCACCGGACGACCAAACACGAACCAGAUUUUAUUUUUAAUAUUAUUUUGAUAAAUUUUGACCUCGUGCAUGGCCAUCUUCUUAUGCCGGAAUUCGUGCUUAUAACGUCUACGACGACUACCAUCACGAACUAUACAAUUCCCUUAAACGACUAUGUGUAUGAGAAGAUAGAUGGGGUUUGUUGUCAACGUUUUCUUCUUUUUUUUUUGAUUUAAUGCACGCACAUACAAAUCACACGUGAGCAAGUAUUUGAACACCGAAAAUAGUCGCGUCGUUAUUUCUUACAAUACUAUAUACUGCACCUCAGUCGCAUAGGUCCCAAGUGCGUACAUAAUGUUAUAUACGAUAAGCGCUUGUACGCGUAAUAAAUACGAACGCAUAUUAUAUGUAAUUGCACAGCGGGCGUGAGCGAUAAAUAACAGUUUUUGUUCUU
Aphis gossypii (cotton aphid) is the source of this 758-nucleotide long non-coding RNA. RefSeq lists it as uncharacterized. NCBI's taxonomy places the organism in Eukaryota, Metazoa, Arthropoda, Insecta, Hemiptera, Aphididae. The transcript is spliced from 3 exons. The record is from RefSeq and is a predicted model, not a curated record.